AGAGUUUGAUCCUGGCUCAGAUUGAAUGCUGGCGGCAUGGCUAAAACAUGCAAGUCGAACGAACCCGCAAGGGUGAGUGGCGAAAGGGUUAGUAAUACGAUCGAACGUACCCCGAGGUGGAGGAUAGCGGCGGGAAACUGCCGGUAAUACUCCAUGAUGUCUUCGGACCAAAGUUUUGGCGCCUUGGGAGCGGCGAUCGUCCUAUCAGGUAGUUGGCGGGGUAAUGGCCCACCAAGCCUUAGACGGGUAGCGGGUGUGAGAGCACGGCCCGCAACAUCGGAACUGAGACACUGUCCGGACUCCUACGGGAGGCUGCAGUAACGAAUCUUCCGCAAUGGGCGCAAGCCUGACGGAGCAAUGCCGCGUGCGGGAUGAAGUAUCUCUGGUAUGUAAACCGCUGUCAGGGGACGGAAACAAUGAUUGUCCCCAGAGGAAGUGGCGACUAACUCUGUGCCAGCAGUCGCGGUAAUACAGAGGCCACGAGCAUUAGUCGGAAUCACUGGGCUUAAAGGGUGCGUAGGUGGCUUGCCAAGUGCUUUGUGAAAUCCCACGGCUCAACCGUGGAACAGCAGGGCAUACUGGCAGGCUUGAGGCAAGUAGGGGCUGACGGAACAGUAGGUGGAGCGGUGAAAUGCGUAGAUAUCUACUGGAACGCCGAUGGUGAAGACGGUCAGCUGGGCUUGUCCUGACACUGAGGCACGAAAGCGUGGGGAGCAAACAGGAUUAGAUACCCUGGUAGUCCACGCCGUAAACGAUGCGCACUAGACCGGUGCGGUUUUGACGCCGUAUCGGUCGUAGUAAAAACGAUAAGUGCGCCGCCUGGGGAGUACGGUCGCAAGAUUAAAACUCAAAGGAAUUGACGG
Molecule: ribosomal RNA, 863 nt
Filed under: uncultured bacterium
Lineage: Bacteria
Description: bacterial SSU rRNA
Rfam family: Bacterial small subunit ribosomal RNA
Source: RNAcentral